RNAcentral lists this long non-coding RNA (5567 nucleotides) under Homo sapiens (human). RNAcentral describes it as "HSALNT0020647". Lineage: Eukaryota; Metazoa; Chordata; Mammalia; Primates; Hominidae. The record is from RNAcentral.
ACAGGGGCUGCAUGCACCGGUGGUCAGAGAGAAACAGAACAGGGCAGGGAGUUUCACAAUGUUCUUCUAUACAAUGUCUGGAAUCUAUGAAUAACAUCAGUUUCUAAGUUAUGAGUUGAUUUUUAACUACUGGGUUUAGGCCAGGCAGGCCCAGGCCUGGUUUUGGGCCUGGCGCUGGGCUGCUUGUCUUUGGUUCUACUUCCUUGUUGUUUUUUUCUUAAAAGAGGUACUGAGUAUAAAACAAUAUAAAACAAUAUGAGAGGGUCUCUCUCUUCCCUCAUUUCCCCUCUUUGAGACUCUCACUUUUUAUCAGUGGGAGUUCUCACUCUUAUUUUUGCUACUUAUGUAUUUUCGUGCAAUAGAUUGAUAGUGAUUUAUAUAGUAUGCUUGUGCUGAAGCAUUUUGGUGAACUAAGGUUAAGCGACGAAGUUUUUUAUCAUUUGGAGAAAUACAGGUAUCAGACAAGGGAGCAGUAAGCAGGUUCCUAUUACUAUUAUUACUCUUAUUAUAAGAGUUUUAAAUCCACCUAUUGCUGGGAACCAAUUUCCAAACAUGGCUCCCAGAUUGAGUCCGUGCCACACUUGCACAGGUGCAUGUGCCAGUUUUGUUAUAUCUUUAACUAUAUCCUCAACUACUUGCCCCUGAUCAUCUAUGUGUAGACAAUAAUUAGUAAGGUCAAAUUUUUCACAAACUCCUCCUUCAGCUGCUAGCAAGUAAUCAAGAGCUAGUCUAUUUUGAUAGAUAGCAUUUCUCAUCAUAGUCUCUUGCCAGGCAAGAACAGUCAAGGCUUGAGUGGUUUUAUUAGUAAUAAUUUCUAAAACAGCUUGUAACCAUAUGAUUCGGUUGAGCAUGUAGAUGGGGGUUCCAUAUCCCCAUGAGACAUCUUGUGACCAAGUGGCAGGUCCAUAGUAUUGUAAGAUUUUUUCAGGGGGCCAUUCAUCGUCUUUCCAAUCACCUAUGGCUAUGCUUCAUUUUUCACAGGAAGCACAGACUGGGAAGCCCAGAAGUUUACCUGUUUUUAUGGGCACUAAGAAGAAAGAUGGCUUAAUGGUGCCAAUUACACAGCUACCUGUCCACUGAUCAGGCAGCUUAGCAUAAGCUCUGUGUCCACAUACCCAGUAUAACCCAGUGGGGGCCGUCCAGUCCCAGUGCAAUUCUGGGUGGGCCCAAACAGUCUGCAACUUUGGAAAUUUACUGAAUGGAUUUUUUUCUGUGUAAUUGGAACUCCACCAUGUAACUGUUUUUGUGGUACCAUUAUACAGCUUUUGCCCAAGACAACUAAGCUGCCCUACAGGAUGAGUAAAUCCUUUUCCUUCUCUAGCUAUGCAAUACUGUCCAAUAAUAAGACUUUCAGAACCCAAAAUUUGUCAGGGUGGUUCUUUUGGGCUGGGAAUUCAUCAGGAACCGGGUCUAUAGGAACCAAUUCUCGGGCUUCCCAUGGCCAUUGAUCUCCUGUUACGGUUCCUCCACAAACAUGACAUAGGCGACUUGUAGAGACUGGGCUACAUGUUUGGCUAAUUGCAAAAACAAAUUUUUAGUUUUUCCUGGAAUCUCAGGUACUGGCACAUUUAGUUCAUCAUAGAAAGUCUGAAAUACUGGUUCUGGAGAACGUUUUUGAACCUCUCCUUUUAUUAGGAUGCUUACACUAGGAUCUAGUCCUUUUCCAUCAAUGCCUAAUGUUACAUAUUUUUCUUUAUUCCACUUUGGGUCUGAGGGGUUUGUGAUUAUCAAUUCUAAAAGGUUGCAGCUCCCACUCAUGCAGGAGAGGCUGACUUUUCCUUUUUGGAACCAAACACUAUCUUUUUUAACUUAUUUUCAAGUAGCCGAAAUAACGCAAGACCAGUAUUGACACAUCUCACAUAAAUAUGAUUCUUGACAGAUAUACUUAUUUUUUUUUACUGUGUAACUUUUUUUUCCAAUUUAGAGAACCACAUCCUCAUCCAUGCUGCUUACUAUCAAUAGUGGCACAAGUGUCAAAUUUUAAGGUUACAUUUUUGGGGACCCCUCUUUCUUCUGUUCUAGCUAUUACCUUUCUUGUGUCACCUAGAAAAGGACCAGUCCUUAAUUGUAUUUUAAAAACUGUGAUCAUGGGAGGCUUAAAAUGGGUCAUAACACGCAUCAAGUUGGUUAUUUCCUGGGCUACAUACCUUGGAUAGAAUAGCAUUAUACAAACAAGUUUCUUUUAGAGUCCUGGUACACUUAUAAUAACCAUAAAAUAAUAGGAAUGUAGCAAUCUUUUGUCCUACCUCAGUGACUUGAUGUAUAUACUGGAAACAGUUCUCAGUCUGAGGAAGGUCAGUUGAAGUCCUUACUGUGCAAGUCUAAAUUUUAAGGAAAAUUAGUCCCGCGAUGAGUUUCCUCAUGCUUCAGCUGUGCGUGGACCAGUCAGCUUCCGGGUGUGACUGGAGCAGGGCUUGUCGUCUUCUUCAGAGUCACUUUGCAGGGGUUGGUGAAGCUGCUCCCAUCCAUGUACAGCUCCCAGUCUACUGAUGUUUAAGGAUGGUCUCGGUGGUUAGGCCCACUAGAAUAAACUGAGUCCAAUACCUCUACACAGUUAUGUUUAACUGGGCUCUCUGACACCGGGAGGAAGGUGGCGGGGUUUAGGUGUUGCAAACUUCAAUGGUUAUGCGGGGAUGUUCACAGAGCAAGCUUUGGUAUCUAGCUAGUCUAGCAUUCAUUAGCUAAUGGUGUCCUUUGGUAUUUAUUAAAAUCACCACAGCAUAGGGGGACUUUAUGUUUAGGUUUUGUCUAAGAGUUAGCUUAUCUGCUUCUUGUGCUAACAGGGCUAUUGCUACCAGGGACUUUGGACAUGGGGGCCAGCGUUUGGAAACCUCAUCUAGUUGUUUUGAGAGAUAGGCCACUGGCCUUGGCCAGGGCCCUACAGUCUGGGUUAAAACUCCAACUGCCACUUUUUCUCUUUCUGACACAUAGAGUGUAAAAGGUUUUGUCAGGUCAGGUAGCCCCAGGGCUGGGGCCGACAUGGGUUUUUUCUUUUUUUCAACUCAUGAAAAGCUCAUUGCUGUUGGGUGUAAUAGAUGCAGUUUAUCUAAUCUACAUUUUUAUUGACUGUCAUCUACCAAAAUAUUGACUUAAAUCCUGUAGCUAUUUGAUUUCGGACUUUAAAUUGAUCUGGUGUUCCUUGCGGGGCUUCGAUUGCAUCUAAAUAGAUGUGAGAGUUGAAAGACCCAUAAGGGGCUUCUCUCGCUUUACGAUGUCUUAUUAUUUUUUUUUUCCUUCCUCUGGUUGAUGAAAUGCCAGGGUGAAAGGGAUAGCCAAAUAGGCUAAAGCACAAGUGCCACUCUAGUUAUUCGGCAGAGUGCCCAAUAAAGGUCCACGACAAUACCAUCACACAUCCGCUCGGGGAUGAACAAGGGCUGACUGACUGAUAAGCUCUUGAAAAUUCUUAAGCUCACUGCAUCCCUUCAGGUCUCCAAGGAAUGCUAAGUCUCCUCCCUGCCAUGAGAGACAUGAAGUGAACUUAGUGUUGGGAGACGGAAGCUGGACGGCCCUCAGGGGCUGACCCGCAGGGACUUUGGGAUAUAGCAGAGAGAGCUUGGCAUGACUUAUUACUCCAAGCUGUAGAAACCUGGAAAAUAGCUACCCUGCAGCCCAUGCCUGGUCAACUGGAGGACCACCUUAGUGGAAGGGGGACAAUCAGGGCCUCUGGCCUGCCAUGUGCACAAGCAUAACAAUUGCAUUUGUUUAAAGUGCAGAUGGAAUAUUUGAUCCAUUUCAGCCAGGCACUUGCAUCUUGGCGUGCUGUCUUAAUUGCCAAAGUUUGUUUUAAGUCUUUAACUUUUAUGAUCCUCUAGUAAAAUGAAUGUUUCCUUUAGCACCAAUUUUUAUUAGUUUUUAGACCAAAGAAAGCUAAACACCAUUUUAUAUUUAAUAAUGUUUCUUGUAUGAUUUUUAUACCAGAUAAGCUAAAUUUUACCUUUAUAUUAGUGUGUUAUUAAUUUUAAACUGAAUUUUAAUAAAACCUUGUAGACAUAUUUAUCCAAUUUUUCAUGUUUGACCAUAAGGUAAGAUUUUAUAGACUCUUUUUAACCUUUUAUAAUUUUUGUUAAAGAGCAGGUUGAUGCUUUAAGAAAAACCUGUGGCAUUUUUUACUUUAAUGUCCAGUUCACAGAAAAACUGGAUGAUACCUUUUUAACUUUAGCUAAUAUGUUUACACACAGAAUUUUCUUUAUAAUUAACGUUUUAAAACUUGCUUAAACUUUUAAAACAAUAAUUGUUUUUAACCUUUUAAUGUAGGUAAAAAUCCACAUUCUUAUGCCCCUUUAUAAUCUUUUUACCAAAGGUAUGUUUUACUUUUCUUAUACACCUUGCACAUAAACUGUUUUUUUAAUAGUACUCAGGAGGCCUUAUUACUUUUAAAUUAUACAACAUUUUUUGCAUAAAUUUUUUUAUAACAUUUUUUCUUUCACGACUUUUGCCGACAAUUCUUCAAUGUGUCUCAACUUUCUGACUUAUUACAAACAUUUUUUUUCUUUAAACACCAGUUAGUUUAUUUCAGGACAAGAAUUUACCAUAUAACACUCUUUUUACAUAAAUUCUGUCUCCCCCCACUUUUUUUUUUUUUUGAAGAUAACCAUUCCUUUUUUUUUUUUUUAAAGCAAACUUUCUUUAUGCCUUUGGACUAGACUGUCUAAGGCCACAAGAUUAGAAGUUACCAUAAUACAUGUUACACUGUUAACUUUAAGCAAACUUCACUUUUGUUGAAAACCUUGUAAGUUUGGGAUUUCAAUUAUCCUUUGCUAUUAAGACCUUGUUUAGUCUAAAUUAACUUAGAAUUGGUAUAGAUGGCCUUUUUUUCUCUCUACUGGUCUUUCCUUGCCUCUGCCAGCCGCUUAUGCUGCUGUUCUCUUAACUACGUUGGCGGGGCAAGGGGGUAUAAAAGCAGCUGUAACUUUCUAUGUAUGGAAACUGGUCUGGGUGCCUUGGCUUACGGGUUACCUUGUGUCAUACCUUUGAAACAAGGGACCUGUCCAGGCUUCCUUCUGAUGGCCAACCCACCUCUAAUGCUGGCCAGUCUAUUUCACACAAAGUUCUAAGUUUUCCUGGUGUCACAGUAACACUGUAAUCUCCCUUAAAUUCUUUCUUGAAUUUUUUUUUAACAUAGUUCCUAGUGGGGUGGGCUUAUUUGUACCUGACCCAUGCUUCUUCGAGACAAAACACCACACCCACACCACACACAUGCCACAAACAAAAAAACAGGUAAAAAGGGCAUACACACUCUUGCAGUUUACACCAAACCAAAAUCAAAACCAAAAUCAGAGUAUCCAGAAAUCCAAGCCAGGUCAAAACCAAAACCAAAACCAAAGUAUCACACAAUCUAAGUCAAGUCAAAACCAGAACAGAAGUGCCAAUGCAGGCAUGUCGUGGGUGAUCAGGCCACACUUCCACCUAGAUGGAGUGGGGCAAGUUCCAAAGACUAGUCUUACCAAGUUUCAGAUGUCCGGACUCCAAGUGCCAGUUCCUUCCCGGUGUUCAGCCACUGUGUUAAUCCUCCACAGGGAACUGCUACACGCUGCUCUGGUGAGGCAUUCCACCGGGGCAAUUUCCUA